UACGUAGGUGGCAAGCGUUGUCCGGAAUUAUUGGGCGUAAAGCGCGCGCAGGUGGUUCCUUAAGUCUGAUGUGAAAGCCCACGGCUCAACCGUGGAAGGUCAUUGGAAACUGGGGAACUUGAGUGCAGAAGAGGAAAGUGGAAUUCCAAGUGUAGCGGUGAAAUGCGUAGAUAUUUGGAGGAACACCAGUGGCGAAGGCGACUUUCUGGUCUGUAACUGACACUGAGGCGCGAAAGCGUGGGGAGCAAACAGG
Molecule: ribosomal RNA, 253 nt
Filed under: uncultured bacterium
Lineage: Bacteria
Description: partial 16S ribosomal RNA
Rfam family: Bacterial small subunit ribosomal RNA
Source: RNAcentral